RNAcentral lists this ribosomal RNA (503 nucleotides) under uncultured bacterium. Its description in RNAcentral is "partial 16S ribosomal RNA". It matches the Rfam family "Bacterial small subunit ribosomal RNA", at positions 30 to 523 of the family's 1533-position model. The record is from RNAcentral.
AUUGAACGCUGGCGGCAGGCUUAACACAUGCAAGUCGAGCGGAGAGAGGUAGCUUGCUACUGAUCUUAGCGGCGGACGGGUGAGUAAUGCUUAGGAAUCUGCCUGGUAGUGGGGGACAACGUUUCGAAAGGAACGCUAAUACCGCAUACGUCCUACGGGAGAGAGCAGGGGAUCACCUGUGACCUUGCGCUAAUAGAUGAGCCUAAGUCGGAUUAGCUAGUUGGUGGGGUAAAGGCCUACCAAGGCGACGAUCUGUAGCGGGUCUGAGAGGAUGAUCCGCCACACUGGGACUGAGACACGGCCCAGACUCCUACGGGAGGCAGCAGUGGGGAAUAUUGGACAAUGGGGGGAACCCUGAUCCAGCCAUGCCGCGUGUGUGAAGAAGGCCUUAUGGUUGUAAAGCACUUUAAGCGAGGAGGAGGCUCUUUUGGUUAAUACCCAAGAUGAGUGGACGUUACUCGCAGAAUAAGCACCGGCUAACUCUGUGCCAGCAGCCGCCGUAA